Long non-coding RNA from Mercenaria mercenaria, 404 nucleotides. RefSeq lists it as uncharacterized. The transcript has 3 exons. Lineage: Eukaryota; Metazoa; Mollusca; Bivalvia; Venerida; Veneridae. The record is from RefSeq and is a predicted model, not a curated record.
CUGACAGCUCUUGUUUAUUACUGUUGUUGUACUUCUAUUUUUAAUGUUAUUUGUUGGCUUGUGUUUUCAGGAAAAGAUGUUACAGCCAGUGUAUGAAGACUGAACUUUUGAUAGGUCACAGGUGCUCUCGCAAAGACUGAUGGCCUGGCAGCAUAAACUAUUCUAUGGUUAUAGGGGUAAUGUCUUUAAACAGAAGCAUGCUGUUGUGGAGUGAAAGUGCACAAACCAUUGAUAACCCUUUGGAGAAUCAGUACCAGAUGUCUUUUCAAAUGUUUGCCAUUCUGAAGUUUUUUUUUGACUGAGCAGUGUCAACCAGUCUUCGAAUCCUAGAGAAUCAGUUCCUCCAAAUGAACAAAUCACCACAGUUAUAAAAAUUAUGGGCAGAGAUAUUUCAUAGAAGAGAG